This 497-nucleotide ribosomal RNA is filed under the name uncultured bacterium. Its description in RNAcentral is "partial 16S ribosomal RNA". It matches the Rfam family "Bacterial small subunit ribosomal RNA", at positions 28 to 507 of the family's 1533-position model. The record is from RNAcentral.
GAUGAACGCUGGCGGCGUGCCUAAUACAUGCAAGUCGAGCGAACAGACGAGGAGCUUGCUCCUCUGACGCUAGCGGCGGACGGGUGAGUAACACGUGGAUAACCUACCUAUAAGACUGGGAUAACUUCGGGAAACCGGAGCUAAUACCGGAUAAUAUAUUGAACCGCAUGGUUCAAUAGCGAAAGACGGUUUUGCUGUCACUUAUAGAUGGAUCCGCGCCGCAUUAGCUAGUUGGUAAGGUAACGGCUUACCAAGGCAACGAUGCGUAGCCGACCUGAGAGGGUGAUCGGCCACACUGGAACUGAGACACGGUCCAGACUCCUACGGGAGGCAGCAGUAGGGAAUCUUCCGCAAUGGGCGAAAGCCUGACGGAGCAACGCCGCGUGAGUGAUGAAGGUCUUCGGAUCGUAAAACUCUGUUAUUAGGGAAGAACAAAUGUGUAAGUAACUAUGCACGUCUUGACGGUACCUAAUCAGAAAGCCACGGCUAACUACGUG